CGCUCCUGCCUGCUGUGGGUGACGCCCUGCGACCGGCCCGGCGCCUGUCUCGUCUACGACAACUGGUGGAUGAGCAGAUACCUGUUGGGCGCCACGCUUUGUUGGAAAUUUGCUUCAUUCGUCUUCUAUAACUUGGCUUGGAUACUGUACAAGCCUCCCGAAGGAAGUGAAGAGUACCCGGUGGUUAAGCUGGAUGGUGAGGGCAGGCCGACCGUAGAGGCGCUUGGUAACGGAGACGCAGUGGCGCCACCCAGCGGCGGCCUCGAGAACCCAGCCUUCGAGCCGUAGUGGAGGGCGCUGCGAGCGCCAUGGUGCCGAACCGUGAUGGUGGCUUCCGGUCGGGCCGCUGAGCAGCUGAGUAAUGUUCUGUGCGGCGGGACAAUGCUGCUGGACACGCUUCUGCCGUCCGCCGCUGAGGCUUGUGGCCCCUGCGGUGACCUUGAGCGAAUUCCGUUGUGUUGUAAAAGAGUUCCAGGACAUCAGCAAUAUUCCAGCAUUCCGGGGUAUCAUAACACAGUGUUUUAGAUGAGGCAGCUCAUUUGUGACUCUAUACCAAGGCGAUGAAAACGAAAAGUGUAUUGCUGCGGAGCGUUUGUGAUGUUCUUACCAAUGUUGUCCGCUCGCUUCGGCGAUCAAACGGCGUUGACCGUCUUUAUCUCGGGGACAGUGCGAGU
Pollicipes pollicipes is the source of this 674-nucleotide long non-coding RNA. RefSeq lists it as uncharacterized. The record is from RefSeq and is a predicted model, not a curated record. Lineage: Eukaryota; Metazoa; Arthropoda; Thecostraca; Pollicipedomorpha; Pollicipedidae. The transcript has 3 exons.